This 525-nucleotide ribosomal RNA is filed under the name uncultured bacterium. Its description in RNAcentral is "bacterial LSU rRNA". It matches the Rfam family "Bacterial large subunit ribosomal RNA", at positions 235 to 717 of the family's 2925-position model. The record is from RNAcentral.
UGUCCUAGUAGCGGCGAGCGAAACGGCUCAGCCCAAACCAUACAGAUGUAAGAUUGCAGUCGUUGUCUGUGUGGGGUGUGGGUUGUUACGGGGAGGUCUGCAUACCUCCAAAUGUCUCGAAGAAGGAAAUAAAACCUUCUGGAAAGUUGGACCAUAGAGCGUAAAAGUCGCGUAUAUGCAACUCCUUCGAGCAUUGUUAACACACCCGAGUACUCCGGGACACGUGGAACCCUGGAGGAAUCUGCGAGGACCAUCUCGCAAGGCUAAAUACUACCUGCCGACCGAUAGUGAACCAGUACCGUGAGGGAAAGGUGAAAAGUACUCCUAACAGGAGAGUGAAACAGUACCUGAAACCGUGCGUCUACAAAUAGUGGUAGUCCUAUGGGUCGCAAGAUCACCGGACAACCGCGUGCCUUUUGUAUAAUGAGUCAGCGAGUUACGCUUCGUGGCAAGGUUAAGUCGACAGACGAAGCCACAGGGGAAACCGAGUCUGAACAGGGCGUUCAGUCGCGGGGCGUAGACCCG